This 61-nucleotide ribosomal RNA is filed under the name Hanseniaspora opuntiae. Its description in RNAcentral is "partial 26S ribosomal RNA". It matches the Rfam family "Eukaryotic large subunit ribosomal RNA", at positions 1 to 59 of the family's 3401-position model. The record is from RNAcentral. Lineage: Eukaryota; Fungi; Ascomycota; Saccharomycetes; Saccharomycodales; Saccharomycodaceae.
UUUGACCUCAAAUCAGGUAGGAUUACCCGCUGAACUUAAGCAUAUCAAUAAGCGGAGGAAA